This 647-nucleotide ribosomal RNA is filed under the name uncultured archaeon. RNAcentral's name for it is "bacterial SSU rRNA". It matches the Rfam family "Archaeal small subunit ribosomal RNA", at positions 833 to 1478 of the family's 1478-position model. The record is from RNAcentral.
GAGUACGGCCGCAAGGCUGAAACUUAAAGGAAUUGGCGGGGGAGCACUACAACGGGUGGAGCCUGCGGUUUAAUUGGACUCAACGCCGGAAAACUCACCGGGGGCGACAGCAAUAUGUAGGUCAGGUUAAAGGUCUUACCUGAAUCGCUGAGAGGAGGUGCAUGGCCGUCGUCAGUUCGUACUGUGAAGCAUCCUGUUAAGUCAGGCAACGAGCAAGACCCGUGCCCACUGUUACCAGCAUAUCCUUUAUGGAUGAUGGGGACUCUGUGGGGACCGCUGCUGCUAAAGCAGAGGAAGGUGCGGGCUACGGUAGGUCAGUAUGCCCCGAAUCUCCCGGGCUACACGCGGGCUACAAUGGUUGGGACAAUGGGUAUCUACUCCGAAAGGAGUUGGCAAUCUCUUAAACCCAAUCGUAGUUCGAAUUGAGGGCUGUAACUCGCCCUCAUGAAGCUGGAAUCCGUAGUAAUCGCGUUUCAACAUAGCGCGGUGAAUCUGUCCCUGCUCCUUGCACACGCCGCCCGUCAAACCAUCCGAGUGAGGUAUGGGUGAGGGCAUGAACUUAGUGUCGUGCUCGAACCUAAAUUUCGCAAGGAGGGUUAAGUCGUAACAAGGUAGCCGUAGGGGAAUCUGCGGCUGGAUCACCUCCU